Long non-coding RNA from Cebus imitator (Panamanian white-faced capuchin), 389 nucleotides. RefSeq lists it as uncharacterized. NCBI's taxonomy places the organism in Eukaryota, Metazoa, Chordata, Mammalia, Primates, Cebidae. The record is from RefSeq and is a predicted model, not a curated record. The transcript has 2 exons.
CUCCUGGGCCUGUUCUGGGAAGAACUGGGGCUGAGGACUCUUCAGCUGGUUCAAGGAUGCUGCUGAGGAGCAUAGUGUCAGGGUAAGAAUAUCUUACUGUUUCUGCUCUGAGUGGCUUCAAGCACAGGCAGCGUGUCAGCAAACAACUGUUUUUCAACUGGUCUUCCACAACUUAACUUUUCAGUCAUCACCUGUGAUGCAGAAAAUGUUGGCUGACCAAGCAGAUGAUUGAGCUGCAAGAAGUCAUCACCAGGAGGGACAUUUCUUCAGCUGAGAAUUUGUACCCUGAACACACUGUGGUUUUAACUCCACAGACCUGAAGACACAAGCAGAAGAGAUUCAGAAAAGCCAAGAACUGAGUGAGUUCACAAUGCAAGCAGGAACAUAAG